This is a long non-coding RNA of Daphnia pulicaria, 1291 nucleotides long. RefSeq lists it as uncharacterized. The record is from RefSeq and is a predicted model, not a curated record. NCBI's taxonomy places the organism in Eukaryota, Metazoa, Arthropoda, Branchiopoda, Diplostraca, Daphniidae. The transcript has 7 exons.
CCAACAAUGGCCGCUUCCAAUCACGUUGAAUGUUAUUGGUGUGUCUUGAUAAGGUUAUUUAUUUAUUUCUAUUAAUCUCCAUUAUGAAAACUACGUGCAAAGUGCUUUAGUUCAUCAAAAAGGAAGGAUUCAGUUCAUCAUCAUCUAGUGUACAAUUCAUAUCUUAUAGUAAAUUGUCCAAACGCCGUUUGAUGCUGAACACAUUUCCGUGGACAGAUCACAUCCUAUAGGAAUGGAUAUUGUGCGAGUGAAACUGGGAAGAAACAUAAAUUGUACUGCAACUCCUCCCUUAGUAUGAAAUGGAUCAACGGACCAUGUCAGUUACCAGCAACAACAAAGUAAUCAUUACUUCCCGGAGAUCGCGAGUCGGCCGCAGACUUUUUAACGCAGUUUCUUUAUAAAAAUUGUGUGUAGCUAGUCUUUGUCUAUGACAGAAGAGUGACUUCCACCAACGUUCUGCCGCAUCCUCAUCUUCGCGACGUACGCUCAUCCAGCUUCGCUGCUACUUGUGCUGCUACUUGUGCUGCUACUCGUGCUACUACUCGUGCUACUACUCGUGCUACUACUCGUGUUACUACUCGUGUUACUACUCGUGUUACUACUCGUGUUACUACUCGUGUUAUACAACUUUUCUCUACUUCAACGAUGAGUUAAACCACUUCAAUGGUCGCUUCCUUCCACCGUGACUCACCUGAAGUUACUCACCACGGGAUUAUGCCCAGUCAGAGGAAACGUGAAAGUCGUGCAGCCAACUGUUUGUUCAAACUCAUUGUAUUGUACUGAAUGUGCCAUAGAAAUUAUACAGAUCACCAAACCCAGCAUGGACCAAUCUCAUUCCAUCUUCUAGAGAACCUUCACUUUUCAUUUCACUGAACUUCCUUCGUUGCAGUCUAAUAUGUUUAAAAGUUUCUAAAUUGGCAUGACAGACUUUAUGAGAAGUAAAGUCCUUUCAAGAAAGACAACAAGGUCCCUUGUUUGCUAACCCAAUGGCUGCUACCCUUGAAUCUCCCUUUUUACUUCCUUAAACGGGCCCUCUUGAUUUGAGGCAAUGUUUUCUGGUAAUCCUUCGCUACUUAUCGUGGACUUCAUCCAUUGCUGAACACCAACGUUGAGAGCAUGCUGUCAUUCCAGACUGAUAAAUUGUGUAUUAAAUGACCAGUGCAUAUCUGAGCUCCCUUCUUUUCUGUGGCCCCGUUUCCCUAAUAACUAAUUACUAACCAACGCCCGCCGGUGGUCACUCACCCGCUGUGAAACCAGGAGGAGGGGAGGGCUCUGGUCGAACGGGGACUUG